RNAcentral lists this ribosomal RNA (2545 nucleotides) under Enterobacter hormaechei. RNAcentral describes it as "bacterial LSU rRNA". It matches the Rfam family "Bacterial large subunit ribosomal RNA". The record is from RNAcentral. Lineage: Bacteria; Pseudomonadati; Pseudomonadota; Gammaproteobacteria; Enterobacterales; Enterobacteriaceae.
UUAAGCGACUAAGCGUACACGGUGGAUGCCCUGGCAGUCAGAGGCGAUGAAGGACGUGCUAAUCUGCGAAAAGCGCCGGCGAGGUGAUAUGAACCUUUGACCCGGCGAUGUCCGAAUGGGGAAACCCAGUGCAAUCCGUUGCACUAUCGUUAACUGAAUACAUAGGUUAACGAGGCGAACCGGGGGAACUGAAACAUCUAAGUACCCCGAGGAAAAGAAAUCAACCGAGAUUCCCCCAGUAGCGGCGAGCGAACGGGGAGCAGCCCGGAGUCUGAAUCAGCUUGUGUGUUAGUGGAACGGUCUGGAAAGUCCGACGGUACAGGGUGAUAGUCCCGUACACGAAAGCACACUUGCUGUGAACUCGAAGAGUAGGGCGGGACACGUGGUAUCCUGUCUGAAUAUGGGGGGACCAUCCUCCAAGGCUAAAUACUCCUGACUGACCGAUAGUGAACCAGUACCGUGAGGGAAAGGCGAAAAGAACCCCGGCGAGGGGAGUGAAAAAGAACCUGAAACCGUGUACGUACAAGCAGUGGGAGCCUCUUUAUGGGGUGACUGCGUACCUUUUGUAUAAUGGGUCAGCGACUUAUAUUCUGUAGCAAGGUUAACCGUAUAGGGGAGCCGAAGGGAAACCGAGUCUUAACUGGGCGUUAAGUUGCAGGGUAUAGACCCGAAACCCGGUGAUCUAGCCAUGGGCAGGUUGAAGGUUGGGUAACACUAACUGGAGGACCGAACCGACUAAUGUUGAAAAAUUAGCGGAUGACCUGUGGCUGGGGGUGAAAGGCCAAUCAAACCGGGAGAUAGCUGGUUCUCCCCGAAAGCUAUUUAGGUAGCGCCUCGUGAACUCAUCUUCGGGGGUAGAGCACUGUUUCGGCUAGGGGGCCAUCCCGGCUUACCAACCCGAUGCAAACUACGAAUACCGAAGAAUGUUAUCACGGGAGACACACGGCGGGUGCUAACGUCCGUCGUGAAGAGGGAAACAACCCAGACCGCCAGCUAAGGUCCCAAAGUCAUGGUUAAGUGGGAAACGAUGUGGGAAGGCACAGACAGCCAGGAUGUUGGCUUAGAAGCAGCCAUCAUUUAAAGAAAGCGUAAUAGCUCACUGGUCGAGUCGGCCUGCGCGGAAGAUGUAACGGGGCUAAACCAUGCACCGAAGCUGCGGCAGCGACGCUUAUGCGUUGUUGGGUAGGGGAGCGUUCUGUAAGCCGUUGAAGGUGUNNNNNNNNNNNNNNNNNNNNNNNNNNNNNNNNNNNNNNNUUAACGCUGAGGUGUGAUGACGAGGCACUACGGUGCUGAAGUGAUAAAUGCCCUGCUUCCAGGAAAAGCCUCUAAGCAUCAGGUAACACGAAAUCGUACCCCAAACCGACACAGGUGGUCAGGUAGAGAAUACCAAGGCGCUUGAGAGAACUCGGGUGAAGGAACUAGGCAAAAUGGUGCCGUAACUUCGGGAGAAGGCACGCUGAUAGGUAGGUGAAGUCCCUGCGGACGGAGCUGAAAUCAGUCGAAGAUACCAGCUGGCUGCAACUGUUUAUUAAAAACACAGCACUGUGCAAACACGAAAGUGGACGUAUACGGUGUGACGCCUGCCCGGUGCCGGAAGGUUAAUUGAUGGGGUUAGCGGCAACGCGAAGCUCUUGAUCGAAGCCCCGGUAAACGGCGGCCGUAACUAUAACGGUCCUAAGGUAGCGAAAUUCCUUGUCGGGUAAGUUCCGACCUGCACGAAUGGCGUAAUGAUGGCCAGGCUGUCUCCACCCGAGACUCAGUGAAAUUGAACUCGCUGUGAAGAUGCAGUGUACCCGCGGCAAGACGGAAAGACCCCGUGAACCUUUACUAUAGCUUGACACUGAACACUGGUCCUUGAUGUGUAGGAUAGGUGGGAGGCUUUGAAGCGUGGACGCCAGUCUGCGUGGAGCCAACCUUGAAAUACCACCCUUUAAUGGCUGGUGUUCUAACGUAGACCCGUAAUCCGGGUUGCGGACAGUGUCUGGUGGGUAGUUUGACUGGGGCGGUCUCCUCCCAAAGAGUAACGGAGGAGCACGAAGGUUGGCUAAUCCUGGUCGGACAUCAGGAGGUUAGUGCAAUGGCAUAAGCCAGCUUGACUGCGAGCGUGACGGCGCGAGCAGGUGCGAAAGCAGGUCAUAGUGAUCCGGUGGUUCUGAAUGGAAGGGCCAUCGCUCAACGGAUAAAAGGUACUCCGGGGAUAACAGGCUGAUACCGCCCAAGAGUUCAUAUCGACGGCGGUGUUUGGCACCUCGAUGUCGGCUCAUCACAUCCUGGGGCUGAAGUAGGUCCCAAGGGUAUGGCUGUUCGCCAUUUAAAGUGGUACGCGAGCUGGGUUUAGAACGUCGUGAGACAGUUCGGUCCCUAUCUGCCGUGGGCGCUGGAGAAUUGAGGGGGGCUGCUCCUAGUACGAGAGGACCGGAGUGGACGCAUCACUGGUGUUCGGGUUGUCAUGCCAAUGGCACUGCCCGGUAGCUAAAUGCGGAAGAGAUAAGUGCUGAAAGCAUCUAAGCACGAAACUUGCCCCGAGAUGAGUUCUCCCUGAGAC